CCAGGGGGGUGUUUCUGGACUCCAAGAGCCCCUACAACUUGGGGAGCUGGAUAUCACCUCUGAUGAAUUCAUCUUGGAUGAAGUGGAUGGGUGUGGAUCUUCGACACUAUUCAAAGCAGGUGGAGCAGGAACUGCAGCAGAUUGAGCAGAAAUCAAUCUGGGACUAUAUCCAAGAGAGUGAAAACAUAGUGUCUCUGCACAAUCAGAUCACAGCCUGUGACGCUGUCCUGGAGCACAUGGAGCAGAUGUUGGGAGAUUUUCAGAGCGACCUCAGCUCCAUCAGCUCUGAGAUCCGGACCCUGCAGGAGCAGUCAGGGGCCAUGAACAUCAGACUUCGUAACCGACAGGCAGUUCGGGAAAAACUUGGGGAACUCAUUGAUGGGCUGGUGGUCCCCUCUGCUCUUGUCACAGCAACUCUGGAAGCUCCAGUGACAGAGCCCAGGUUCCUGGAGCAGCUACAGGAGCUGGAUGCCAAGGCAGCUGCGGUCAGAGAGCAGGAGGCGAGAGGCACCGCUGCCUGUGCAGAUGUCAGAGGCGUGCUCGACCGGCUCCAGGUCAAGGCAGUGACAAAGAUCUGAGAGUUCAUUCUCCAGAAGAUUUACUCCUUCAAAAAGCUGAUGACCAACUAUCAGAUCCCCCAGACAACCCUGCUGAAGUACAGGUGGCCACCCCAGGAUGGGCACAGGGUGUCCUCCAAGGAGAUCAGGGAUGAGUAUGUAGAGACACUGAGCAAGAUCUACCUGUCAUACUACCGCUCUUACAAGGGGCGGCUCAUGAAAGUGCAUUAUCCGUUUGAAGCACUCUUCCUAAGCCAGCACUAUGCCCUCCUCUACAAUUCAUGCCGUGAAUAUCUUCAUCUGUGAAUUUUUCGUUGUGUCUGGCCCGGCUGCACAUGACCUGUUCCACGCUGUCAUUGGCCACAUGCUCUCCAUGACGCUGAAACACCUGGAGUCCUACCUUGCCGACUGCUACGACGCCAUUGCUGUUUUCCUCUGGAUCCACGUUGUUCUCCGGUUCCGCAACAUUGCAGCAAAGAGGGACGUCCCUGCCCUGGACAGGUACUGGGAGCAGGUGCUUGCCUUGCUGUGGCCUCGGUUUGAGCUGAUCCUGGAGAUGAAUGUCCAGAGUGUCCGCAGCACUGACCCCUAGCGCCUUGGAGGACUGGACACUCGGCCCCACUAUAUCACGUGUCGCUAUGCUGAGUUCUCCUCUGCAUUUGUCAGCAUCAACCAGACCAUCCCCAAUGAAAGCACACUGCAGCUGCUGGGUCAGCUACAGGUGGAGGUGGAGAAUUUUGUCCUCUGAGUGGCUGCAGAGUUCUCUUCCAGGAAGGAGCAGCUUGUGUUUCUGAUCAACAACUAUGACAUGAUGCUGGGUGUGCUGAUGGAGCUGGCUGCAGAUGACAGCAAAGAGGUGGAGAGUUUCCAGCAGCUUCUCAAUGCUCGGACACAGGAGUUCAUUGAAGAGUUGCUGUCUCCUCCCUUUGGGGGUCUGGUGGCGUUUGUGAAGGAGGCUGAAGCCUUGAUUGAGCGUGGGCAGGCUGAGCGGCUCCAAGGGGAGAAAGCCCGAGUCACUCAGCUGAUCUGUGGCUUUGGUAGUUCCUGGAAGGCAUCUGUGGAGUCCCUGAGUCAGGAUGUAAUGAGGAGUUUUACCAACUUCUGAAAUGGAACCAGCAUCAUCCAGGGGGCACUAACCCAGCUGAUCCAGCUGUACCACCGCUUCCACCGGGUGCUGUCCCAGCCCCAGCUCUGCGCGCUCCCUGCCAGGGCCGAGCUCAUCAACAUCCAUCACCUCAUGGUGGAGCUGAAGAAACACAAGCCCAACUUCUGACUCAG
This is a non-coding RNA of Arvicanthis niloticus (Nile rat), 1835 nucleotides long. Lineage: Eukaryota; Metazoa; Chordata; Mammalia; Rodentia; Muridae. The record is from RefSeq and is a predicted model, not a curated record.